RNAcentral lists this long non-coding RNA (578 nucleotides) under Numida meleagris (helmeted guineafowl). RNAcentral's name for it is "lncRNA (ENSNMEG00000017741.1)". Lineage: Eukaryota; Metazoa; Chordata; Aves; Galliformes; Numididae. The record is from RNAcentral.
CUCUAUUAGAAGUACCCUCUAGAAGCAAUGAUAGGGAUACUGAAAAGACAUGAAAACAUUGAUCUUUGUCCCUCCUUCCCUCCAUGACUUCCAACCUUUAGUCUGAAAAGGAUGAUGAAAGUCUUGUUACCUUAUGGAUACCAACGUCUUCACUGUGGCUACCAGCAGGAGAGCUGUUACAGCGCUGUUUGAUGGCAACACAGUUGAAGAAAAUGCUUGACACGGAUGUGACCAGAGAACUACAGCAAGAUGUGAAAUACAGGUUAUCCAAAACAAAUGGAAAACAAAGAAUUAAGGAGCAGCCAUUAACACCCACACGACGCCUGAGACAGCCUGGGAUUGUUACAGUGACUGAAUGAGUAUGCAAACAUAAUAACUGCUACAGAACUAACUGGAGGACCAUCUAAUCUGACCUUCUGUCUUCAGCUGAGCUGGUGCCAGCCAUCUCAAAUGAAGACAAAAAAAUCCCUAACACAAAAUUGUGCAAUGCUCUGUUAUAGAAGAAAAUUUUCCCUGACUCCAGCUGUUGCUCAAUUAUGUCCUGAAGCUUGAGGAUUAACAGUUCUGGUGAUUUUUGU